GGGCCUGUAGCUCAGCGGUUAGAGCAGAGGACUCAUAAUCCUUUGGUCGUGGGUUCGAACCCCACCGGGCCCACCA
This 76-nucleotide transfer RNA is filed under the name Verrucomicrobiota bacterium. RNAcentral describes it as "Verrucomicrobia bacterium (microbial mat metagenome) tRNA-Ile". It matches the Rfam family "tRNA". Rfam says of the family: Transfer RNA (tRNA) molecules are approximately 80 nucleotides in length. Their secondary structure includes four short double-helical elements and three loops (D, anti-codon, and T loops). Lineage: Bacteria; Pseudomonadati; Verrucomicrobiota. The record is from RNAcentral.